GGAGAGAUGGCUGAGUGGUUGAAAGCACCGGUCUUGAAAACCGGCGUGCGUUAAUAGCGCACCUAGGGUUCAAAUCCCUAUCUCUCCGCCA
RNAcentral lists this transfer RNA (91 nucleotides) under Pseudoalteromonas fenneropenaei. Its description in RNAcentral is "tRNA-Ser". It matches the Rfam family "tRNA". From Rfam's summary of the family: Transfer RNA (tRNA) molecules are approximately 80 nucleotides in length. RNAcentral also lists the same sequence under 1 other name. Lineage: Bacteria; Pseudomonadati; Pseudomonadota; Gammaproteobacteria; Alteromonadales; Pseudoalteromonadaceae. The record is from RNAcentral.